This 557-nucleotide ribosomal RNA is filed under the name Listeria monocytogenes. RNAcentral describes it as "partial 23S ribosomal RNA". It matches the Rfam family "Bacterial large subunit ribosomal RNA", at positions 1239 to 1793 of the family's 2925-position model. The record is from RNAcentral. Lineage: Bacteria; Bacillati; Bacillota; Bacilli; Caryophanales; Listeriaceae.
UUCUAAGGGCGGUGAAGUCAGACCGGAAGGACUGGUGGAGCGCUUAGAAGUGAGAAUGCCGGUAUGAGUAGCGAAAGAAGGGUGAGAAUCCCUUCCACCGAAUAUCUAAGGUUUCCUGAGGAAGGCUCGUCCGCUCAGGGUUAGUCGGGACCUAAGCCGAGGCCGAUAGGCGUAGGCGAUGGACAACAGGUAGAGAUUCCUGUACCAGUGCUAAUUGUUUAACCGAUGGGGUGACACAGAAGGAUAGGGAAUCGCACGAAUGGAAAUGUGCGUCCAAGCAGUGAGUGUGAGAAGUAGGCAAAUCCGCUUCUCGCGAAGCAUGAGCUGUGAUGGGGAAGGAAAUUAAGUACGGAAGUUCCUGAUUUCACGCUGUCAAGAAAAGCCUCUAGGAAGAGUAGUACUGCCCGUACCGCAAACCGACACAGGUAGAUGAGGAGAGAAUCCUAAGGUGAGCGAGAGAACUCUCGUUAAGGAACUCGGCAAAAUGACCCCGUAACUUCGGGAGAAGGGGUGCUCUAUUAGGGUGCAAGCCCGAGAGAGCCGCAGUGAAUAGGCCC